CCUAUACCCCCAAUCACAGCCCCCACCUUCACCCUACAAUUAGAGCAUACACUCUACCUCACUCCACCCACACCACACACAAUCACCCAGUACAAUCUUCCCCAACAUCCCUCUACCAAACAUUCAAAAACUGUUCAUCCCCUCUUCCUUAUAACCUAUGUCAAAGAAAUUCACGCCUCGUAAAAUUUUCAGAAUUGUCAAAUAAACUUUAUCUGAUUAAUUUUCAAGUCCCAUCGUUCAAUAUAUUAAGUCAAAUCCAACCGCGUAAAAUUGUUAAAAGCCCGACGUGGCUACGGGUGGAUCUGCUCAAUCCAAUUAUCAAAAAGAGAAAAAAUCUCAAGCAAACAAAAGAGGGACUCCGACAAAUAAGAAGGAAAAAAUUGUUGAAACCCCUUUCGACUCUGAUUCUGACUUUUGUUAAUAUUACAAAAAAGAGAAAAAUAAAAAAAUCGACAAAUGUCGAUGUUUCUCAAUCUUCUAAACCUUCAAGACCAUCAACAAGGAACUCAACAAAAAACAUGAAAUCAGAGAUACCAUUGGUCAAGAAAGACAAAAAAAAGUUGUUAGUCAUAAAUUCAGAAACAUUGUGUUUACCAACGAAGAGUUAAAUGGCAUGGAUCAAUAUAUUCUAAAUAAAUUUUCAAGUAACCAUGAUACAAAAGAUUAAGAAACAUCAGAAAAACAUAGUGUUCACGUCGACAAAAAGUAUUUAGAGUUGAAGACAGAGAUUGCGGAGGUAUAUAAUAAAAAAUUAUGAUUUAAUACCUUUUUUUUAAAAUUUUACAAAUUACUUAUCCAAUAUGUUAAUGUUCAGUGAAAGGUCAGGGUGAAGUUGAAACAAUUGAAAGAUAAUGUUAUUCUUCAAUUCCUUUUACAUUAAUUAUCAAUAAUUUCUUUCUAAAAUUUUUUAAUGUUUUAACAUUUAUUUUUACAUCUAUUGAUAAGGUUGACAAACACAUGGUUGAAAUGAAAACAUAUGCCGAUUACUUGACAAAGCUUAAAAUAUAGAUUAGGUCGUCAAGAGGUCAACCAACAUCAAUUAUACACCAACAGGUAUUAUGAAAUACUAGUGGGUUUUACAAAGCAAAAGCCAA
This 1094-nucleotide long non-coding RNA is filed under the name Solanum lycopersicum (tomato). RNAcentral describes it as "partial TCONS_00179995". The record is from RNAcentral. Lineage: Eukaryota; Viridiplantae; Streptophyta; Magnoliopsida; Solanales; Solanaceae.